This 480-nucleotide ribosomal RNA is filed under the name uncultured bacterium. Its description in RNAcentral is "bacterial SSU rRNA". It matches the Rfam family "Bacterial small subunit ribosomal RNA", at positions 28 to 516 of the family's 1533-position model. The record is from RNAcentral.
GAUGAACGCUGGCGGCGUGCUUAACACAUGCAAGUCGAACGAAGAUGCCGGAGUGCUUGCACUUUGGCAGACUGAGUGGCGGACGGGUGAGUAACGCGUGGGUAACCUGCCUUAUACAGGGGGAUAACAGUUGGAAACGACUGCUAAUACCGCAUAAGCGCACGGUAUCGCAUGAUACAGUGUGAAAAACUCCGGUGGUAUAAGAUGGACCCGCGUCUGAUUAGCUUGUUGGUGAGGUAACGGCCCACCAAGGCGACGAUCAGUAGCCGGCCUGAGAGGGUGAACGGCCACAUUGGGACUGAGACACGGCCCAAAACUCCUACGGGAGGCAGCAGUGGGGAAUAUUGCACAAUGGGGGAAACCCUGAUGCAGCGACGCCGCGUGAGUGAUGAAGUAUUUCGGUAUGUAAAACUCUAUCAGCAGGGAAGAUAAUGACGGUACCUGACUAAGAAGCACCGGCUAAAAUACGUGCCAGCAGCC